RNAcentral lists this transfer RNA (76 nucleotides) under Candidatus Erwinia haradaeae. RNAcentral describes it as "transfer RNA Alanine". It matches the Rfam family "tRNA". From Rfam's summary of the family: Transfer RNA (tRNA) molecules are approximately 80 nucleotides in length. Their secondary structure includes four short double-helical elements and three loops (D, anti-codon, and T loops). Further hydrogen bonds mediate the characteristic L-shaped molecular structure. tRNAs have two regions of fundamental functional importance: the anti-codon, which is responsible for specific mRNA codon recognition, and the 3' end, to which the tRNAs corresponding amino acid is attached (by aminoacyl-tRNA synthetases). tRNAs cope with the degeneracy of the genetic code in two manners: having more than one tRNA (with a specific anti-codon) for a particular amino acid; and 'wobble' base-pairing, i.e. permitting non-standard base-pairing at the 3rd anti-codon position. The record is from RNAcentral. Lineage: Bacteria; Pseudomonadati; Pseudomonadota; Gammaproteobacteria; Enterobacterales; Erwiniaceae.
GGGGUUAUAGCUCAGAUGGGAGAGCGCCUGCUUUGCACGCAGGAGGUCAGCGGUUCGAGACCGCUUAGCUCCACCA